AGUAUGGGGAUCUGCCGAAUGGAGGGGGACAACAGUUGGAAACGACUGCUAAUACCGCAUAAAGUUGAGAGACCAAAGCAUGGGACUUUCGGGCCAUGCGCCAUUCGAUGAACCCAUAUGGGAUUAGCUAGUUGGUAGGGUAAAGGCUCACCAAGGCGACGAUCUCUAGCUGGUCUGAGAGGAUGACCAGCCACACUGGAACUGAGACACGGUCCAGACUCCUACGGGAGCAGCAGUGGGGAAUAUUGCACAAUGGGGGAAACCCUGAUGCAGCCAUGCCGCGUGUAUGAAGAAGGCCUUAGGGUUGUAAAGCACUUUCGGUGAUGAGGAAGUUAUGUGUGGGAUAAGCGCAUAUAAUUGACGUUAGUUACAGAAGAAGCACCGGCUAACUCCGUGCCAGCCG
This 403-nucleotide ribosomal RNA is filed under the name uncultured Orbaceae bacterium. Its description in RNAcentral is "bacterial SSU rRNA". It matches the Rfam family "Bacterial small subunit ribosomal RNA", at positions 114 to 514 of the family's 1533-position model. The record is from RNAcentral. Lineage: Bacteria; Pseudomonadati; Pseudomonadota; Gammaproteobacteria; Orbales; Orbaceae.